RNAcentral lists this long non-coding RNA (615 nucleotides) under Cicer arietinum (chickpea). Its description in RNAcentral is "long non-coding RNA (CARI_LNC001537)". Lineage: Eukaryota; Viridiplantae; Streptophyta; Magnoliopsida; Fabales; Fabaceae. The record is from RNAcentral.
GUUCCUUCUUCCCAAGAUAGGAUUCCAAGGUGCCACCAAAACAUUUAGUGACAGAUUUUCCAGACAAUAUACAAACACCAAUCAUUUUCAUGUUUUACUCCACAAAUUUCAAAUUAUUUGGCACGGAAGUCGUGCCGAAAUACAGUGAGGUUUUGAGUAAACUUAUCCCUGUUUUUUGAGUCUAUACUUAGAGUAACGUCUGCCAUAAGUUUAUCAAAACAUAGAGAGAGCCGCUGAUGGUGAUCCAUUGGCUGCAAAAAAAGAAAAUCAGUCUGAGUUACACUGCAUAAUCAAUGUGGAAAAACUGAACCGCCAAUCAUUUUCAUGUUUUACUCCACAAAUUUCAAAUUAUUUGGCACGGAAGUCGUGCCGAAAUACAGUGAGGUUUUGAGUAAACUUAUCCCUGUUUUUUGAGUCUAUACUUAGAGUAACGUCUGCCAUAAGUUUAUCAAAACAUAGAGAGAGCCGCUGAUGGUGAUCCAUUGGCUGCAAAAAAAGAAAAUCAGUCUGAGUUACACUGCAUAAUCAUAGUGGAAAAACUGAACCGCUAUCGCCUUCUAUUAGCAAGGUAGACCUUGUUUAUUUUGUGAAAAUAUUGUAUUUUCAUUUUCUAAA